GAAGGCUGUGAGGUUCCCCUCU
RNAcentral lists this microRNA (22 nucleotides) under Mus musculus (house mouse). RNAcentral's name for it is "Mmu-Mir-1953_3p* (star (passenger))". Lineage: Eukaryota; Metazoa; Chordata; Mammalia; Rodentia; Muridae. The record is from RNAcentral.